UACAAGUUGUACGAAACCAUAGGGAUUUUGGCAUGUGACAUAUAUAAUAUUAGUAUUAUGUAUUAUGGUUCUAAAAUUUCACAAAACCACAAACGUUAACCAAUUUUACAUACUUCCAUACUAAUAAAUUUCAGAUGUGAUUAUAGAACACAAAAGUGUGAUAGAUUAAAGUAAAAAUGAUGUAUAGUGUGGUUUUGUGAAACUUGGUUAUGUGCCACAUGGUAAAACCCUAGUGGUUUUUGUGCAAAAGUUUACUCUUGG
This 261-nucleotide microRNA precursor is filed under the name Oryza sativa (Asian cultivated rice). RNAcentral's name for it is "miR5835 stem-loop (osa-MIR5835)". The record is from miRBase by way of RNAcentral. Lineage: Eukaryota; Viridiplantae; Streptophyta; Magnoliopsida; Poales; Poaceae.